AUGAAAGGAAUAUUCUGGAAUAGCAGAGGUCUAAAGGACUUGGCUAAAAGAAGGUUUCUUGCUGAGGCGUCUAUCGAGCAUUGUUUAGAUUUCAUAGCUCUAUCGGAGACGGGUAGAGAUAACUUCGCACCUCAAUUUCUAAAUACUCUUUCGGGAGGUACAGAUUUCGAUUGGCAUUGCUUGCCACCGAGAGGGAGAUCGGGUGGAAUCCUUCUCGGAGUUAGGUGUGAUGCGCUUGAGGUUCGCAGUGUGGUCAUGGGAGACUUUGCUGUUAAGUUUAGGGUGCGAUCGAAGGUUGAUGGGUUUAAUUGGGCUCUUGUUGCGGUGUAUGGUGCUGCACAGCCAGAGCUCAAGCCUGAGUUCUUGGCUGAUCUUGUUCGGAUUUGUGGCUCCGAGCAGUUGCCCAUCCUGGUGGGGGGUGAUUUCAAUAUUAUUCGACGACAUGAGGACAAGAACAAUGAUAAUUUUGAUGGACGAUGGUCGUUCAUGUUUAACACGAUCAUCGAAAGUCUAGACCUGAGAGAAAUUGAGCUCUUGGGUAGAAAGUUUACCUGGGCGAACGCGAUGCCAAAUCCGACGUAUGAGAAGUUGGACCGUGUGUUGGCUAGCGUGGACUGGGAACAGAAGUUUCCCCUGGUGACUGUCCAGGCCUUGUCCCGUGGUAUUUCUGACCAUACACCGUUAUUUAUUGACUCUGGUGAACCCACGCACCUGGGGAACAAAAAUGUGUUCUCCUUUGAGAUGGCUUGGUUUGAAAGAGAGGGCUUCUUGGAUCUUGUGGCCAGAGAGUGGGCUAAGGAUUCAGGAGGGAGGACCGCGCUUCAGCGCUGGCAGAAUAAGAUUAGGCAUUUGAGGAGCUUCCUACGUGGGUGGGUUAAGAAUCUGAGCGGGAUUUAUAAGGCCGAGAAGGAAAAGCUCCUUGUCCUUAUACAGUCUCUGGAUGUAAAAGCGGAAACCACGAUACUGCCGGCUGCCGAGCUUCAUGCCAAGCUAGAGGCGGAAUUGCGGCUCAAAGAACUUCUUAGAGAAGAAGAGUUGAAGUGGGCGUUGCGGGCCAAGGUCCGGCGAGUUGUCCAGGGGGACGCGAACACACAAUUCUUUCACGUGAUCGCUAACGGUAAGCAUCGAAAGAAGAGAAUCUUUCAGCUUGAGCAAGAUGAGGGUACGAUUGUAGGACAGGAUAACCUAAAAUUGUACAUAACCGAAUACUAUAAGCAGCUAUUUGGCCCUCUAGAAGAGAACUGUGUGUCUCUGGUCGAGUCAAGGGUUGAGGAUAUUCCUCAGCUCACGUCAGUGGAGAAUGAUAUUCUUGCGGCUCCUUUCUUGGAGAAUGAGGUGCUCGAGGCCAUCUCACAAAUGAAGAAUAACAAGGCGCCGGGCCCUGAUGGUUUCCCAGUGGAGUUUUAUAAGAAGUGCUGGCACAUCAUUAAAGGGGAUUUAUUGCCUAUGUUUAAUGACUUGUUUGCUGGGCAGCUUCAUCUAUUUCAGCUAAAUUUUGGAACGAUUACCCUUCUUCCUAAGAAAACAGAGGCUGUGAGGAUUGAGCAGUUCAGGCCAAUCUGUCUUCUUAAUGUCAGUUUCAAAAUUUUCACCAAGGUCGGGACCAAUAGACUCACACAGAUUGCGCAUACUAUUGUG
This 1638-nucleotide ribosomal RNA is filed under the name Triticum aestivum (bread wheat). Its description in RNAcentral is "partial small subunit ribosomal RNA". Lineage: Eukaryota; Viridiplantae; Streptophyta; Magnoliopsida; Poales; Poaceae. The record is from RNAcentral.